CGACUGAGCGGCGGACGGGUGAGUAACCCCGNGUGGGUAACCUGCCUUACACGAGGGGGAUAACAGUUAGAAAUGACUGCUAAUACCGCAUAAGACCCCGGUACCGCAUGGUACAGAGGUAAAACUGAGGUGGUGUAAGAUGGACCCGCGUCUGAUUAGGUAGUUGGUGAGGUAACGGCUCACCAAGCCGACGAUCAGUAGCCGGCCUGAGAGGGUGGACGGCCACAUUGGGACUGAGACACGGCCCAGACUCCUACGGAAGGCAGCAG
Molecule: ribosomal RNA, 269 nt
Filed under: uncultured bacterium
Lineage: Bacteria
Description: partial 16S ribosomal RNA
Rfam family: Bacterial small subunit ribosomal RNA
Source: RNAcentral